AACGAUUCGUCGUCGGCAUGGAGAGAAGGUGCAGGUAGUGUUGUUGGUGAUACUGAAGUUCGGUAUAAUUCGAGGUAUUCUGCAGCGGGAGGUGGUUACGGAGGUGGGCCGGCGGGGGUGGAGGUGAAAGGUAAAGAUGGUCAGAACUGGAAAUUUCAUGCGGUGGAGUUUGCUAAAGGAUUUGCGGAGAUGAGUGUGGAGUUUGGGAAGGGAGUGAGGGAUGUAUUGAAGCAGAGUGUGGUAAGAGAGGAUUCGAUACUUGUGAGGAAAGUUGGACCGCUGUGUUGUAAAGUUUGCCGGAGAUUGAGUUUUUUGAAUGAAUAUUUGCCGGAAGAUCGCGAUCCGGCACAUGCUUGGAGUGUGAUAUUUUUUGUUCUUUUUCUGGCUUCUGCAGUGCUUAUUGCAAGUAAUGAUAAUAUAUAUCCAACUACAUCGGUCAAGAAAGUGUGUGUACAUCCUCCAAGUGCUAGUCGAAUUUCGCUUCCAGACGGUAGACAUUUGGCUUAUCAGCAGCAGGGUGUUCCUGCUGAGCUGGCUAGAUUUUCAAUGAUUGCUCCGCAUUCUUUUGUCUCGUCUCGGAUUGCAGGAAUACCUGGCAUUAAGACUUCUCUACUGCAAGAAUAUGGUAUUCGCUUGGUAACAUAUGAUCUUCCAGGAUUUGGAGAAAGUGAUCCUCAUCCUUCCAGGAACCUUGAGUCAUCAGCCAUGGAUAUGCUACACUUAUCCUAUGCAGUCAAUGUCACCGACAAAUUCUGGGUGGUGGGAUUUUCAGGUGGAUGCAUGCAUGCUUGGGCCGCCCUUAGAUACAUCCCUGACAGGAUUGCAGGUGCCGUCAUGGUCGCUCCAAUGGUUAGUCCAUAUGAACCAAGAAUGACCAAGGAGGAGAAAAGUAAAAUGUGGAAGAAAUGGACAACAAAGAAGAAAAACAUGUAUAUAUUAGCUAGGAAGUUUCCAAGACUACUUCCUUACUUUUACCGAAGAAGCUUCCUUAGUGGAGUCCAUGGCCAGAUUGAAACACGGCUUGCCUUGUCUCUUGGAAUAAGAGAUAAAGCUUUGCUGGAGCAUCCAUUGUUUGAAAAGUUCUGGCAGAGAGAUGUAGAAGAAUCUGUUCGACAAAAGAAUGCAAAACCAUUUGUAGAGGAAGCUGUCUUACAGGUUUCCAAUUGGGGUUUUAGUCCUGUAGACCUCAAAGUACAGAGGAAACGCACUGGAAAGGGUAUUAUGCAUUGGAUUAAAUCUCUAUUUGGUCAAACAGAUGAAAUCUUGACUGGAUUCCUUGGUCAAAUACAUGUAUGGCAGGGAAUGGAAGAUAUGGUGGUACCGCCAUCCACAAGUGAGUUCUUGCAGCGAGUCCUACCAGAUGCAAUGGUACAUAGGCUCUUAUACGAGGGCCAUUUUACUUAUUUUUACUUUUGUGAUGAAUGCCAUAGACACAUAUUUAGCACUGUUUUUGGAAAUCCUCAAGGACCUCUUACCCCAGAACCAGAACCCGAUCAAUCUCCCAUCCAAAACGAUGGCGUAGAGAUGCAAGAUACAAUUCUGGGUGAUGUUGCCACUGAUGAAGAAAAUGUAUCUAUUGUAGUUAAUCCUGAUAAAGAGGAUUACAUCGACUAGCUUGGUCGCGAAGAUUGUCCAACUGUCCAUUAUCUAUAUGGACAGUGUAGUUCCUUCCUAGCUUUGUGAAUAAUACGAAGCAUAGAUUACCUAGGAGGAAAUAGUUACAGGAAAGAUCAGUUAUUAAUACAAUUUUAUGUAGUGUCUGAUCUACUUAUUAUUAUUACAAGAUCACAGCUAUAAAGAUGAGAGUCUCAUUAUAUUUUGAUUAGGCUGGGUUCUGUUUACAGUUACAUAUUUUUCUUUUAAACAUUUUUGUAUUAAAAGGUCCAAG
Molecule: unclassified non-coding RNA, 1888 nt
Filed under: Hevea brasiliensis (rubber tree)
Lineage: Eukaryota; Viridiplantae; Streptophyta; Magnoliopsida; Malpighiales; Euphorbiaceae
Source: RNAcentral